This 1012-nucleotide ribosomal RNA is filed under the name Neocamarosporium betae. Its description in RNAcentral is "SSU rRNA". It matches the Rfam family "Eukaryotic small subunit ribosomal RNA", at positions 85 to 1107 of the family's 1831-position model. Lineage: Eukaryota; Fungi; Ascomycota; Dothideomycetes; Neocamarosporiaceae. The record is from RNAcentral.
AACUGCGAAUGGCUCAUUAAAUCAGUUAUCGUUUAUUUGAUAGUACCUUACUACUUGGAUAACCGUGGUAAUUCUAGAGCUAAUACAUGCUGAAAACCCCGACUUCGGAAGGGGUGUAUUUAUUAGAUAAAAAACCAACGCCCUUCGGGGCUUCUUGGUGAUUCAUAAUAACUUUACGGAUCGCAUGGCCUUGCGCCGGCGACGGUUCAUUCAAAUUUCUGCCCUAUCAACUUUCGAUGGUAAGGUAUUGGCUUACCAUGGUUUCAACGGGUAACGGGGAAUUAGGGUUCGAUUCCGGAGAGGGAGCCUGAGAAACGGCUACCACAUCCAAGGAAGGCAGCAGGCGCGCAAAUUACCCAAUCCCGACACGGGGAGGUAGUGACAAUAAAUACUGAUACAGGGCUCUUUUGGGUCUUGUAAUUGGAAUGAGUACAAUUUAAACCUCUUAACGAGGAACAAUUGGAGGGCAAGUCUGGUGCCAGCAGCCGCGGUAAUUCCAGCUCCAAUAGCGUAUAUUAAAGUUGUUGCAGUUAAAAAGCUCGUAGUUGAAACUUGGGUCUGGCUGGCAGGUCCGCCUCACCGCGUGUACUUGUCCGGCCGGGCCUUCCUUCUGGAGAACCUCAUGCCCUUCACUGGGCGUGUUGGGGACCAGGACUUUUACUUUGAAAAAAUUAGAGUGUUCAAAGCAGGCCUUUGCUCGAAUACGUUAGCAUGGAAUAAUAGAAUAGGACGUGCGUUCCUAUUUUGUUGGUUUCUAGGAACGCCGUAAUGAUUAAUAGGGACAGUCGGGGGCAUCAGUAUUCAAUUGUCAGAGGUGAAAUUCUUGGAUUUAUUGAAGACUAACUACUGCGAAAGCAUUUGCCAAGGAUGUUUUCAUUAAUCAGUGAACGAAAGUUAGGGGAUCGAAGACGAUCAGAUACCGUCGUAGUCUUAACCGUAAACUAUGCCGACUAGGGAUCGGGCGAUGUUCUUUUUCUGACUCGCUCGGCACCUUACGAGAAAUCAAAGUUUU